This 510-nucleotide ribosomal RNA is filed under the name uncultured bacterium. Its description in RNAcentral is "partial 16S ribosomal RNA". It matches the Rfam family "Bacterial small subunit ribosomal RNA", at positions 28 to 507 of the family's 1533-position model. The record is from RNAcentral.
GACGAACGCUGGCGGCGUGCUUAACACAUGCAAGUCGAACGAAGAGCGAUGGAAGCUUGCUUCUAUCAAUCUUAGUGGCGAACGGGUGAGUAACGCGUAAUCAACCUGCCCUUCAGAGGGGGACAACAGUUGGAAACGACUGCUAAUACCGCAUACGAUCCAAUCUCGGCAUCGGGACUGGAUGAAAGGUGGCCUCUAUUUAUAAGCUAUCACUGAAGGAGGGGAUUGCGUCUGAUUAGCUAGUUGGAGGGGUAACGGCCCACCAAGGCGAUGAUCAGUAGCCGGUCUGAGGGGAUGAACGGCCACAUUGGGACUGGGACACGGCCCAGAAUCCUACGGGAGGCAGCAGUGGGGAAUCUUCCGCAAUGGACGAAAGUCUGACGGAGCAACGCCGCGUGAGUGAUGACGGCCUUCGGGUUGUAAAGCUCUGUUAAUCGGGACGAAUGGUUCUUGUGCGAAUAGUGCGAGGAUUUGACGGUACCGGAAUAGAAAGCCACGGCUAACUACGUG